Molecule: long non-coding RNA, 3613 nt
Organism: Gadus macrocephalus (Pacific cod)
Lineage: Eukaryota; Metazoa; Chordata; Actinopteri; Gadiformes; Gadidae
Exons: 3
Source: RefSeq, a predicted model, not a curated record
CCUUCUCCUUACCCAUAGAGCAACUUAAUUUCCCUCACUCUCUUCACCUCCAUCCUCCUCUACCAAAUCGUCUAGCUCACUGUCUGCUGAAGGAAAGACCCCGACCAGCACGUAGAAUCCAGGAUUUAUAUGAGCCUUUUAACCUGCUUAUGAUACAUAAUAACACAGGCUACUUGAUGUUAGUUUUGUCUCACGUCCUCAGUAGCACCAGGAGAUGAAGAGAAAGCUGCCACUGCUCCUCUCUCUGUGGCUGCUCCUAAAACCAAGGGCCAUGUGUCUCAUGAUGUUAGGCGUUGAAAGAUAUUUUAUUUGUUCAAUAGAUAUAUUAUUAUAUGACAUUGUAAGUAUAAUGCUGAUUCAUUUGUGAUAUUGAUAAAUUCAUGUUAUGCAAAGGAAGCUCCAUUCGCGAUCGACUGCCUUCAAUUCGAACUACUGAUAUUAUCUUAAACCAUUCUUAAACCAUGUGGAUGUCCACAGAAGGAGGGUACAGAUACACAGGAUUUACUUUCACUCCAGUUCUCUUUAUUCUGGUACAAAAGUAUCCGACACACAAACGGUGUCAACAGUGGGUCUGAAACUUGAUGUAGUAAAAAAUGAUAGUCACCAAGAGGAACACUAGCUGUGCAGUUGCGAUAUUGAGCCGCCAGGUGGCGCUAAAACGACACAUAUGUAAGAAAUCCAUCAAGUUUGUAGAAAUCCAUAAGAAUGAAUUGUAUAACUCUUACACCCGCUUGUUGCAUACACCAUUUUUUAAUUGGCAACCAGUGACAACUGAAACAGCCAUCACGUUUCAAAGCACAGCCACAGUAUACAUGGCCGUGAACAGAGAGUUGCUCUGCAAAAAGGUCAUCACGGUGCACUGUUCCACCAUUGAGGCUUAAUCUAAAUCAGUGAAAUCACACUUAUUAUUUUAGUUUAAUGUAAUUUAAGGAUGUAAUGUAAGAUUAAACAACGAGCUGAAAUGUAUUCGCCGCUACCAAGGCCACCAGAGGGCGCCGAACCUGCUUUGCGUUUUGCUAAUUAGCUCACCUGCCGCAGCUCGCGCGCUAUGGGCACGCUAAUUAGUUAAUUUGUUGCGUCUGGUUGGGUUCUGUUCAUAUGGAACCAGACAGCACGUUGUUGUCCACCACUGUUUGGCAGCGUUAUGUCUCCCAGACAAGGUUACAAAGACUUUUUGAAGUAAAACGGAGCAUUUCAUAUGGAGCUGAUUUCUAUCCUGGAGAUGAAACUGCAGUUCUGUGAGUAUCCCAAUUGAACCAUGAAGAAGAAACUGCGAACUGUAAGUCAUUGGUUUCAUUAUUAUUGGGCACUGCAAUGUAUUUUGGGUUAACCUGUUUAGUGAACAUUGCUUUGAGUAGUGUGGAUGUUUUAUUGGUGCAUGAGCUACUUAAGCGUUUGAGUUGGUACUAAUGGUUUCAAGUACAGGUUAGAAGUGUUGUAAAGCGUAAUAGAGAAUUCUGUGGGUACAACCAAAACAUACUUCAGGGUUGGUUGCUGAUUUCUUUUGUCUUCUUUCCUGCUACUCUCCUGAGCUCUUCAUCUUCAUCACAUGAGUGUCGCUUUACAGAUGAGGGUGUAUCUGAGUGAGCAGAGGUGCAUGAUGGGAUACAGGUCUGUCUGAAGUCUACUGGUCUGUAGAAACGACCACUCAGGAGAAACCAAGGAUUUGAGAAUCUGUUUUGAUGUGCGUUUCAUGGACUAGAGUAUCCUUUAAGAUGGGGACAGGGAUUCCCAAAGGAGAAACACCAGGGGGAGAUGUGAGUGCUCCUCAUCUCAACAACUGGAACACUACUUCGUUCUUGCACCAGAGAACCAUAGAGCUCAUUUCAACAUUCUCCUCCAUGUAUUGUGAAGCCUCAGCGACUGUUUCUCUACCUCCACAGCUGUCAGAGCACAACUCCAGUUCAGAAAUGGUCACAGUUGGGGGCCAUUCCAAGAUGGUUUCUGAUUUCACCAGAGCCAUCUUCCAGGUCCAGCUGCCCUUCCAUCUUGAGGGUUGGCGUGUACAAAACCCUGUACACAGAAAGCUUCUAUUUGGUCCAGUUGAGGGCUUGUCAGCCUACUGAGGAUAGAGAUAUUCUACAAGAGUGUUUGACAUUGUAUUGCUCUGUGGCAUCUGGGUUUGACAUGAGAUGGAAAUGGUUCAUUUGUCAGCAUGACAAGGGUUCGCUCUGGUAUUGGAGUUCUGCAUAAGUGUGUGACCUGGGUUCUACAUGUGUCCUGGGUUCGCUCUGGUGUUGGCGUUCUCCUGGGUUUGCUCUGGUAUUGGAGUUCAACGUGCAUGUCCUUGGUUCGAUCUGGUAUUGGAGUUCAACGUGCAUGUCCUUGGUUCGAUCUGGUAUUGGAGUUCAACGUGCAUGUCCUUGGUUCGAUCUGGUAUUGGAGUUCAACGUGCAUGUCCUUGGUUCGAUCUGGUAUUGGAGUUCAACACGCGUGUCCAUGGUUCGAUCUGGUAUUGGAGUUCAACGUGCAUGUCCUUGGUUCGAUCUGGUAUUGGAGUUCAACGUGCAUGUCCUUGGUACGACCUGGUAUUGGAGUUCAACGCGUGUGGCCAGGGUACGACCUGGCAUGGGAUUCUACGUGUGUCCUGGGUUCAACCUGGUGUGCGUCCAUCUGAGUGACAUGGGGUAUUGGAAUUGUCAACCUAAUCUAAAUGGAUGGAUGAGCACCUGGUUUGCUUAAGGACUUGGCCGACGUGAAGAGCCUGGAACGAUGCUCCGCAAUGAUAUCCCAACACACUGGACAGGAAGACGGGAGUUGGAUUGGAAUCAAGUGUAAAGAAAGGAUGCGAAAGGCUGGUUUGGAUCACUGACUACAAAUUAGAACUACACCAAUAAGGAACAAUGGAGGAAGUAUACCAAAUGGAUUCCACAAGAAGAGUCUGAAGUUGGAAAUCGACCUAAAUGGAUAUUCAAGAUGACCUUCAGAGCUGUAGUGAGGCGCCUCUUCCUACCUGCUGGAUGGACAGCGAGCCCUGUGGACCGUGUCUUGUGUCGUAUUGCUUUCAGAUGCACAUCUUCUCUGACUGAAAUAUAUUGUUUCCUGGCUAGGUGAACCUGGGAGAUGGGUUCUGUGAAUCAGAAACAAUCUUUGAACUAUCCUAACUCGGGUCCGCCUCAAGCUGAAGUUGUGCUCUUCUUCAGCUGAGGACGUUUGGAAACCUUCAAGAUGUAUAGAGGGGAACGUUGCAGUGGGUUCCAUGGUUCUCUGAUGGAAAUCCUUGGUUGUAUUCUACUGGCUGAGAGGAAAAACACACGCAUCUUUCUCUUGGCGUUUCUUCCUUUUAGAAUCCCUGUCGCCAUCUUGAAGGAUAUUCCACUUUAUGUAACUGAUGUCCUUACGGCUUCGCAAACUUUGGUUUCUCCAGAGGGGCGUGUCUACAGAAUUGUAUACUUCAGACGGCAUUGUAUCCUAGAAUGAAUCUCUGCUUACUCAAACCACACCUCCAUUAGUACGGCAACACUAUAGCGAUGGAGGUGCAUAGUCUUUGAGUAACUGGGGAGCAGAUAACGGGGAUUAGAAAACAAUGUCAUGUUAAGUCUGUAGAUCUUUAAAUCAUGAUUGUUAAAUGGGAGUUCAGGAAUAGAGUUGAUUUAAUUAUGUGCAGUCCCUU